AUGGACUGUCUCGUGGCUGCUUGCUCGGGUGGCCAGCAAGCUGCUGCUGCGUUCAGCUGCCCGAGGAUGCCCUGCUGGGACACGGACGUGGUCAAGGUGCGUGGUCAGGCUGUGCAGGGGGAGAUAAGCCACCACCACGUGAGUGCCACCGACCUUUUCUGUGCUGAAUUAAAAUGUAGGACUCCGGUUUUCGCUUGGAUUGCAGCCUUUUUGAUUUUUCAAGGAGAAGAGCACUCGGAUCAGCUGCGUUCGUUAGCUCAAUUAAAGCAAGCUGCACUUUUUUUUUCGUGGACUAAUGCUGCUCCUUCCUCUGAGCAGGCGUGCCCUGGUGGUGUGUAUUUGCACUCAGCGCUUCAACGUGACACCAAGGGACUAAUCUGGGCCUGCUUCAUCCCAGCUAUCAGAAAGCUGAGCAAACCGUGUGUGUUACUUUUACACCUAACCAUUAUAACCCCAGGAGCCUUUUCCAGUUUCAAAUAAUAAUAAUAAAAAAAAAGGUUUUGUGAACUCA
RNAcentral lists this long non-coding RNA (511 nucleotides) under Anas platyrhynchos platyrhynchos (common mallard). Its description in RNAcentral is "lncRNA (ENSAPLG00000025372.1)". Lineage: Eukaryota; Metazoa; Chordata; Aves; Anseriformes; Anatidae. The record is from RNAcentral.